RNAcentral lists this RNase P RNA (227 nucleotides) under Escherichia coli. RNAcentral describes it as "partial RNase P RNA component class A". It matches the Rfam family "Bacterial RNase P class A", at positions 128 to 367 of the family's 367-position model. Rfam says of the family: Ribonuclease P (RNase P) is a ubiquitous endoribonuclease, found in archaea, bacteria and eukarya as well as chloroplasts and mitochondria. Lineage: Bacteria; Pseudomonadati; Pseudomonadota; Gammaproteobacteria; Enterobacterales; Enterobacteriaceae. The record is from RNAcentral. RNAcentral also lists the same sequence under 1 other name.
GCCCGCGCAAGCGGGAUCAGGUAAGGGUGAAAGGGUGCGGUAAGAGCGCACCGCGCGGCUGGUAACAGUCCGUGGCACGGUAAACUCCACCCGGAGCAAGGCCAAAUAGGGGUUCAUAAGGUACGGCCCGUACUGAACCCGGGUAGGCUGCUUGAGCCAGUGAGCGAUUGCUGGCCUAGAUGAAUGACUGUCCACGACAGAACCCGGCUUAUCGGUCAGUUUCACCU